This 264-nucleotide ribosomal RNA is filed under the name uncultured bacterium. RNAcentral describes it as "partial 16S ribosomal RNA". It matches the Rfam family "Bacterial small subunit ribosomal RNA", at positions 91 to 354 of the family's 1533-position model. The record is from RNAcentral.
CGGACCGGCGCACGGGUGAGUAACGCGUAUGCAACUUGCCUAUCAGGAGGGGAUAACCCGGCGAAAGUCGGACUAAUACCGCAUGAAGCAGGGGCCCCGCAUGGGGAUAUUUGCUAAAGAUUCAUCGCUGAUAGAUAGGCAUGCGUUCCAUUAGGCAGUUGGCGGGGUAACGGCCCACCAAACCGACGAUGGAUAGGGGUUCUGAGAGGAAGGUCCCCCACAUUGGUACUGAGACACGGACCAAACUCCUACGGAAGGCAGCAG